This 253-nucleotide ribosomal RNA is filed under the name uncultured bacterium. RNAcentral's name for it is "partial 16S ribosomal RNA". It matches the Rfam family "Bacterial small subunit ribosomal RNA", at positions 524 to 776 of the family's 1533-position model. The record is from RNAcentral.
UACGUAGGGGGCUAGCGUUGUCCGGAAUCAUUGGGCGUAAAGCGCGCGUAGGCGGCCAGAUAAGUCCGGUGUGAAAGUCACAGGCUCAACCUGUGAAUGCCGCUGGAAACUGUCUGGCUAGAGUCCGGAAGGGGCGAGUGGAAUUCCUGGUGUAGCGGUGAAAUGCGCAGAUAUCAGGAGGAACACCGGUGGCGAAGGCGGUUCUCUGGGCAUUACCUGACGCUGAGGAGCGAAAGUGUGGGGAGCGAACAGG